This 469-nucleotide ribosomal RNA is filed under the name uncultured bacterium. RNAcentral's name for it is "partial 16S ribosomal RNA". It matches the Rfam family "Bacterial small subunit ribosomal RNA", at positions 27 to 507 of the family's 1533-position model. The record is from RNAcentral.
GGACGAACGCUGGCGGCGUGCUUAACACAUGCAAGUCGAACGGAAAGGCCCUGCUUUUGUGGGGUGCUCGAGUGGCGAACGGGUGAGUAACACGUGAGUAACCUGCCCUUGACUUUGGGAUAACUUCAGGAAACUGGGGCUAAUACCGGAUAGGAGCUCCUGCUGCAUGGUGGGGGUUGGAAAGUUUCGGCGGUUGGGGAUGGACUCGCGGCUUAUCAGCUUGUUGGUGGGGUAGUGGCUUACCAAGGCUUUGACGGGUAGCCGGCCUGAGAGAGUGACCGGCCACAUUGGGACUGAGAUACGGCCCAGACUCCUACGGGAGGCAGCAGUGGGGAAUAUUGCACAAUGGGCGGAAGCCUGAUGCAGCAACGCCGCGUGCGGGAUGACGGCCUUCGGGUUGUAAACCGCUUUCGCCUGUGACGAAGCGUGAGUGACGGUAAUGGGUAAAGAAGCACCGGCUAACUACGUG